CACAAGAAACCCAAAUUAACUGUAGUACGGCGUAAAGAGUGGUACCAUGCUAUCCCAACAACUAAGAUCAAAGUGCAACUAAGCCGUCAUAAGCCCAAGAUGCAUCUAAAAACACCCUCAAGACGAUCUUAGCAUUUCCGACUGAUUAAAUCCCACGAAAGCUAGGGCACAAACUGGGAUUAGAUACCCCACUAUGCCUAGCCCUAAAUCUUGAUACUCUCCCCCACUAAAGUAUCCGCCCGAGAACUACGAGCACAAACGCUUAAAACUCUAAGGACUUGGCGGUGCCCCAGAUCCACCUAGAGGAGCCUGUUCUGUAAUCGAUAACCCACGAUACACCCAACCCCCCCUUGCCAAAACAGCCUAUAUACCGCCGUCGCCAGCCCACCUCUCCUGAGAGUCCAACAGUGAGCGAAAUAGCCCCACCUCGCUAGCAAGACAGGUCAAGGUAUAGCCUAUGGGGCGGAAGAAAUGGGCUACAUUUUCUAAGAUAGACAACUUCACGGAAAGGGACAUGAAACCGUCCCCAGAAGGCGGAUUUAGCAGUAAAGCGGGAUAAUAAAGCCCCCUUUAAACCGGCCCUGAGGCACGUACAUACCGCCCGUCACCCUCCUCACAAGCUAUAUACACACGUAACUAACUCCUGCUCACCAGCUGAAGAUGAGGUAAGUCGUAACAAG
RNAcentral lists this ribosomal RNA (680 nucleotides) under Eudyptes chrysocome (Rockhopper penguin). RNAcentral's name for it is "partial 12S ribosomal RNA". It matches the Rfam family "Bacterial small subunit ribosomal RNA", at positions 526 to 1495 of the family's 1533-position model. Lineage: Eukaryota; Metazoa; Chordata; Aves; Sphenisciformes; Spheniscidae. The record is from RNAcentral.